Molecule: unclassified non-coding RNA, 352 nt
Filed under: soil metagenome
Description: partial contains 5.8S ribosomal RNA, internal transcribed spacer 2, and large subunit ribosomal RNA
Rfam family: 5.8S ribosomal RNA (bases 1-120)
Source: RNAcentral
GAUGAAGAACGUAGCGAAAUGCGAUAAGUAAUGGGAAUUGCAGAAUUCAGUGAAUCAUCGAAUCUUUGAACGCACAUUGCGCCCGCCAGUAUUCUGGCGGGCAUGCCUGUUCGAGCGUCAUUACAACCCUCAGGCCCCCGGGCCUGGCGUUGGGGAUCGGCGGAAGCCCCCUGUGGGCACACGCCGUCCCUCAAAUACAGUGGCGGUCCCGCCGCAGCUUCCAUUGCGUAGUAGCUAACACCUCGCAACUGGAGAGCGGCGCGGCCAUGCCGUAAAACACCCAACUUCUGAAUGUUGACCUCGAAUCAGGUAGGAAUACCCGCUGAACUUAAGCAUAUCAAUAAGCGGAGGA